ACUUUGAUAAUCAUGACAUCACUGUUGAGGUGGAAGUAAAAGCCAACUGUGACAUUAAAGUUCACAGGCCUUGUGAAAUAGAAAAAACUGAUUGUUGUAAAGAAAAUUUGCAGAAACCCAGAAGUCCAGGAGAAGUUACUGGCUUCGGAGAGCCACUCAGUCCAGGUGAAAUAAGGUUCAUAGAAAAUCAGGAAAAAUAUGGUGAAGCUUCCAAAAUAAAGACAGAAUCCAAUCCAUUGAAAGAAAAUGCUCUGAAAUCUUGCCAAAUUCAUAUAAAUGGAAGCCACAUUGAUCACCCGGACAUUAACUGCCGCAAAGCUGUAAGGGAUAUAUUGUUAGAGCACUCACUGCAGAGCCACAAGAAACUCAAGCUAACUAAAAUGAGGGCUAAGAAGAAGAAAAAGAAAAAAAAGAAAUUGAAAGAUGUUUUGAGUGAAAAUUUACAAAGAAAGCGUGAAGGUCUUCAUUCUCUUCCCUUCAAGUCUUACAAACCUGAGAUCCAGAGUAAAUUAUUGAUCAUCAAAAAGAAAGGAAAA
This 536-nucleotide long non-coding RNA is filed under the name Rattus norvegicus (Norway rat). Its description in RNAcentral is "long non-coding RNA NONRATT003704". Lineage: Eukaryota; Metazoa; Chordata; Mammalia; Rodentia; Muridae. The record is from RNAcentral.